This 342-nucleotide ribosomal RNA is filed under the name uncultured bacterium. RNAcentral describes it as "bacterial SSU rRNA". It matches the Rfam family "Bacterial small subunit ribosomal RNA", at positions 30 to 371 of the family's 1533-position model. The record is from RNAcentral.
AUUGAACGCUGGCGGCAUGCCUUACACAUGCAAGUCGAACGGCAGCACGGGAGCAAUCCUGGUGGCGAGUGGCGAACGGGUGAGUAAUAUAUCGGAACGUGCCCAGUCGUGGGGGAUAACGUAGCGAAAGCUACGCUAAUACCGCAUACGAUCUAUGGAUGAAAGCGGGGGAUCGCAAGACCUCGCGCGAUUGGAGCGGCCGAUAUCAGAUUAGGUAGUUGGUGAGGUAAAGGCUCACCAAGCCAACGAUCUGUAGCUGGUCUGAGAGGACGACCAGCCACACUGGAACUGAGACACGGUCCAGACUCCUACGGGAGGCAGCAGUGGGGAAUUUUGGGACAA